GACGACAUUGUUUUUCGGGGGUCGAUCGGUUUUCGGGACAUCUGCUGGCGAGAAUGGGAAGCUACCGAUGCUUGUCUCUCCCGCGAGAAAUAACGAGGACAGCCACGUUUUUCGAACAAGUAUUUUAUCAAGCUCUUAUUUGCGAAAUAUUCCUCGAGUAAUUAUGCAGCUUUGUUAUUUGAUGCUAAAAGUUUCGUUUUUGAUAAAAUUAAAAAAAAAAAGAAAUGCACUUGACAACCUCAUUGCAUAAGUCUCACUUAACACUAACCUAACCAAAUUCGUGAAAUGAGUUUCAUACGUUCGUCAUUUCAAAUCACAUUUCUUCAGACACUUUUCUUGAAAUCUCUGUUAACUUUCACGGAGAUAAAGAACUAGCAUGUAUAUUAAGUUACGUUUCACCUUUUAUUUAUUUUUCAUUUUGAAGAAUGUGCACCGAUACGUUUAGUGUUAACAUGGCUGCAAAAUAACACAAAAGAAGAGCAUAGGGUGUAAGAGUUAUAAGUGCGUGUUAAAAGAGAGUUGUAUAAACAAAGAUUUGACAAAAUUCAUGAAAAGAAAAAGAAACCGGUUCCACGUUUUCAAUCGUAGUUACGUCAGGUAUUACCCAAUGAGAGAGAAGCUCUCGAUUGCACCCACUGCAGAAGCAAGCGUGUUGUACCAACCUUGCUUUAUCUUGUCCUCUCUUUCGCUAGGAUAUUACGUCUUAUGACUACAGCUGGAUAUAAACAUUGGCCUUCUGAACCGGACGAAUUUGAGAGAAGUCAAUCAUCGAGCUCAGCUUUCAAAGGAAUGUAUUUCACGUAUGUAUUCGUGUCGUCGUAUCCGAACACGGAUGCGUGUAAGCAACGAAGCAAAGGAGCGAUCCUCAACUUCGAAUUGCUUGCGCAAUGAUUCGAACUCGUAGCUCGGUAAGAGCGGAUGAACUUUUCCGUAUUGGGAAUGCUUAUGAAAUAAUCUAGCAGGAGGAUCGGCUGCUUAAAGUAACGAGUAAAGAGCUAGCGAAGUUGCGCAAAACCGUGGUCGAAGAUGAGAGGAAGACAGUAGGGACAGCUAUCUACGAAGAGGAUUCGUAGAAGAAAUUCUGUGGCGUAAUGUCGACCUCCGUUCUCUACUCCCUCCCGAUCGAGAUCGUUUCUCCUUUAUACCGUUGACGGAGAAGCCUCGAUUAUGUGCCACGGCGAGGAAACGAGAAGAAGAAAGGAGAAGAGACUGGGACAGGAUGGGAGAGGGUGAAGGGAAAAGAGUUAACCGAGAGUUCAUCGCUUAUUAUGUAAGCAACGUCGGCAGCCUAUAAACAACGCACCUCACCUUGCAUUACGCUUAUCAGUUCUGAAGGCCUCGUAUUUGUCUCUGGAGCUAGCGACACUACUUUAUAUUCCCCGAUAUAAAGAUAUCGAAAUAUAAUAUCCGAGUAUAUUUACCGUCGCAUCCAACACGUGCACAUCGGCUAUCAGGAACUCUACCGCAAAAUGCAAAUUUAUUUGGUGGUGUAAAAAAACGAGGAUAGUUGAUGGUGACCGUAUAUGCACAGUUCGGUACGCCUUGACCGUUUAUUUUGAAUUUGUUGCAAGUUCGAUGACCGACGACGAUGAACCACGGCCAUGAAGAAAGGCUGUGCCCGCAUAAGCAUUCCUCCAUACAUAUACGUGUAUCACAACUCAUAAAUACACGAUGUGCAUUCACAAUUUUUACCCGUUGAUCCCUUGUAUUUCAAUAUUCCCUUCCACCAUUUUACUUUUUCACCGCGUGCCUUUCAUUGUCUGCCAUUUUUGUCCAUAUAGGCAUGUAAAACUUCAGCUAAGGGAUCGUGAAGUAAUUACAAGAAAGGAGAAAUGUCAUUUAAAAUUAAAACAGAUUCUUUUCAUUGAGUU
Molecule: long non-coding RNA, 1871 nt
Filed under: Megachile rotundata (alfalfa leafcutting bee)
Lineage: Eukaryota; Metazoa; Arthropoda; Insecta; Hymenoptera; Megachilidae
Description: uncharacterized LOC105662089, transcript variant X2
Source: RNAcentral